This 800-nucleotide long non-coding RNA is filed under the name Rattus norvegicus (Norway rat). Its description in RNAcentral is "long non-coding RNA NONRATT011187". Lineage: Eukaryota; Metazoa; Chordata; Mammalia; Rodentia; Muridae. The record is from RNAcentral.
GGCUCGGGAAAUGGCUAUGUAGGAGCCUAUCCUGGUUGCAGGCCUGCAAGAGACAGCCACUGAGAACUAGGAUCGGACUAAGGGAUGGCCUCACUUAGAAAAGGCCCAAAUUGCUUAAAAGAUAAAGGACAAUGGCACACUUGAGGGGAAAGCUAUACUCCCCCAGAGAACAAAGAAAAGACUCACUUUGCCAAAUACAGAAAUGGACUCAUUUAGGAGAUAAAAAGUUUGUCCAAGUAGUUACGUGUAUGUAAUAGACUUUAAGAUUUUAGCCAGAGAGGCAGUAGAAAGUAUAAGGUAUGUCAGUAGUGAAUGCUUAGCAAGCAAACAGGGCAAAGAGACCUAGAGAGUUUAGUGAAAAGUCGAAGUGAACUUCACUGAGAUAAAACCAGAAAAAUAUAAUCACAAGUAUCUCCUAGUGCUUGUAGAUACUUUUUUAGGAAUAGAUAGAAGCUUUCCUCACCAAACGAGAGAUGGCCUCUGCAAUCAUCAAGAAGAUACUGGAAGAAAUCUUCCCCCGAUUUGGAAUGCCCAAGGUAAUCUGGUCAGACAACGGCCCUACUUUCGUUGCCAAGGUAAGCCAGGGUGUGGCCAAGUAUUUAGAGGUCGAUUGGAAAUUACAUUGUAUUUACAGACCUCAAAGUUCAGGACAGGUAGAGUAAAUAAAUAGAACUCUAAAAGAGACCCUGACCAAAUUAACCAUGGAGACUGGCGCAGACUGGGUGACACUCCUUCCCUCUUGCUCUCUUCAGAGCAAGAAAUACCCCUUCCAGAUUCAGCCUUACCCCCUUUGAGAUCUU